UGCUGAAGUUCCUCAGAUGUUGUGGCGGAGAUGAAUUAUAUCUUGUCACUCCCUCUCUGUGACUGUGUAAUGGAUAUCUAAAUCCUGAUCUGUCCAUCACAAAUUUUAUGGAGAAGAAAGAGAUCAAAACAAAACAGAAUGGAGAGUUACCACACCUACAUAUUCAAGAGAGAGAUUCCAUCAACAAGUAGAAAGCACAGAUGAGAGGGAAACACCAAAUAAUUGAAGGUCCACCAGUCCUGCCAGAAGCCUGGUCCAAUCACAAGGUCACAGUGUCCUUCAGAACACAUCCCCCUGCUCUAGUGUGAGGUCCUCCACAAUCCGCAGGUAUACAUCUGCUCCACCAUGGAACUACUGAAGGGGAACAGCCUGCCUCACCAUGGUCUUCACCAAGGACUGCAGGGGAAGCUCACUGCUCUGGAGCCAGCAAGACCUCACCACAUGUCACUGUUGGACACAAAAUUAUUCACACAGACACAGCUCAAUGUGUGAUAAAAGAAGAGAGCCCUUUAUUCUGUUGUUUCGGUAUUUAUAGAUUCUCAACAAC
Cyanistes caeruleus (blue tit) is the source of this 547-nucleotide non-coding RNA. NCBI's taxonomy places the organism in Eukaryota, Metazoa, Chordata, Aves, Passeriformes, Paridae. The record is from RefSeq and is a predicted model, not a curated record.